AUGCUGGGCGGACGAUGAUCGCGGAGAAGGCUGAAUCUCAGGGAUUGGAGCUGGGAAUCGAUCCGGAUGAAGAGGAUGGCAAUGACGCGGUUGGGAUGCUGGCUGCACGCACGAUGAUCGCGGAGGAGCUGGUCGCUGGCUGCACCGCGUGGGACUCGUGGCUGGAACGGGAGGGAGGACGCGAAUCUCGGCCGUGAUGCACUGUAGGGGGGAAGAAGAUGAACAGUGAAGUUUUUAUUUAUUUUAUUAUUUUUUUUGUAACACUGUUCAUAUGAACAGUGUUUUCACGGAACACUGUUCAUAUGAACAGUGAAUCCAGUAAUUUUUUCCAAAAUUACUGUGGAUAUUUAAUUAUUAUUAUUUUUUAAAUUAUAAAUUUUAUAUGAAGGCAGGUAAAGAAUUGGUUAGGAAUUGGCUUUGGAUUUGAGGUGGGUCAUGAUCGUUGAUUUGCUUGAACUUGUUCUCGAGCCCAA
This 473-nucleotide long non-coding RNA is filed under the name Phoenix dactylifera (date palm). Its description in RNAcentral is "long non-coding RNA (PDAC_LNC001512)". Lineage: Eukaryota; Viridiplantae; Streptophyta; Magnoliopsida; Arecales; Arecaceae. The record is from RNAcentral.